CACUCCUGCGGGACUUACGCCCCUCCUCCCGGUGCAUUCAGGAACAAGGAAGUUUUGGAUGGUGAAGGGAAGGACCCAGAGCCCAGUACAGUUACAAGGAGAAGGGAAAAGGGCCAGACCAGUGGGGAACAAAGUGCCUGUGAGAUGGUGGUGCCCUCCCCAGAAGAGAAGCAAAGACCUAGGAUAGAAAUCCAAGCCUCUACGCCCUGCCCAGCAAUGGAUCACCCUGGAUUGAAGAGGCAUUAAGGAUGUAGCAGUGAACAAGACAGAUAACUUCCUGGAGCUUACAUCGAAAUCCUCCAGCCCCACAGAGGAAGACACCUUAAAAUUGUUCAAACUCAUUUCACACCACAGACAUGCUCCAGCCAACAGUGGCAUCUCCUCCGUACUGCCUCUGUCAAGGUCACAGCACUCUGUGCUCCAAGUGAAGAAAAUCUGAGGCUUUGACUCUGGCUCUGUGUCAACUGCUUGGAAUGAAAUGAAACGAGGAAUCGCUCUCACACGCCCAGAGCUCCCUGGGUCCCUGCAUGGCUGCCCCCCCAGGGAUCCCAAACGUGGGAACUCCUCCUGGCCCCUACUUGUCUCCUGCGGGCCCUCUCUCCUCCGGAUGUGGACAACCUCAAAGGAACAGGGAGAACUGUGGUUGCUGAGCCUGCUUUCGAGGUGAAGGGGAGCUCUUACUGGAUGGAGAGGGGAUCUUGGGGGACCUCUCUGACCUUAGGCCAGCCCAGGCCUGGGCGUGCACGGAGCAGGGCCAGGCAGCAAAGGUUCUACCUGGCAGCGGUCUGGGGAUGCCAAACACUGAAGCAGCCACCUCGGCGGGUUCCCCAUGCUCGGACCCCGCAGGGCCCCUCCCCUUCCCCACGUGUCGCUGUGGUUGCCGGAUGAGGCCUCGCAGCCAUGUGGGCGGCCCAGCGCCUUUCCAAAGGAAUAGGAGCCGGCAGGCAGGCCAGAUGGAAGCAAUUACAGGCGGGAACGCCGAGCCGAGCCGGGAAGCGGGAGGGUGGGGGCUGGGAGAGGCCGACAAGGAGGAGGGGAGGGGAGCCAGGAGCGAGGCGGGAACCCAGGCCUGUCCAACCCAAGCGGGCUGCGAAGCCCAAAUUCAGGGUGCGGGCAGGGCAAGGAGGCAGGAUCCCACCCAGAAGCGGGGUUUGUAUCACCAGCCCUCGGGCAAAACCGUUCACACCUUGGAGUCCAAGGCCCCUUUCUUUUUUCAUCACAGACCAAACAGGUAGGACAAGCUCCAGCUCAGGGGCGCAGGCGAACGGGACCUAAAAAGCUGAAAAGCGGAGGUUUUGGAAGAAGGCUUGGGUCUGUCUCGGUUUGGCUGCUUAAGAGCUGUGUGACCUCAGCUCUGCGGUUUAAUCUCCCCAGCCUCCACGUCGUCAUUUCCAAAUGGGCUUAAGUGGCAGGCUAACUGAAGGGAUAUAAUAAGUGCCCAGGGGCUGGGGAUUUAGCUCAGCGGCACAAGCGCCAGUCUGGCCAAUGCGAAGUCAUGAGUUUGAUCCCCAGUACCAAAAAAAAAGCACAUUUAAAAAAAGUUAAAAUAAAAAAAAUUUUUAAAUGUG
Cavia porcellus (domestic guinea pig) is the source of this 1568-nucleotide long non-coding RNA. RefSeq lists it as uncharacterized. The record is from RefSeq and is a predicted model, not a curated record. Lineage: Eukaryota; Metazoa; Chordata; Mammalia; Rodentia; Caviidae. The transcript has 3 exons.